RNAcentral lists this ribosomal RNA (253 nucleotides) under uncultured bacterium. RNAcentral's name for it is "partial 16S ribosomal RNA". It matches the Rfam family "Bacterial small subunit ribosomal RNA", at positions 524 to 776 of the family's 1533-position model. The record is from RNAcentral.
UACGUAGGGGGCUAGCGUUGUCCGGAAUCAUUGGGCGUAAAGAGCGCGCAGGCGGUCGUCCAAGUCGCGUGUGAAAGCCCCCGGCUCAACUGGGGAGGGUCACGCGAUACUGGUCGACUCGAAGGCAGGAGAGGGUAGUGGAAUUCCUGGUGUAGCGGUGAAAUGCGCAGAUAUCAGAAGGAACACCGGUGGCGAAGGCGGGUCUCUGGGCCGAUACUGACGCUGAGGAGCGAAAGCGUGGGGAGCGAACAGG